RNAcentral lists this transfer RNA (75 nucleotides) under Roseivivax halodurans JCM 10272. It matches the Rfam family "tRNA". From Rfam's summary of the family: Transfer RNA (tRNA) molecules are approximately 80 nucleotides in length. Their secondary structure includes four short double-helical elements and three loops (D, anti-codon, and T loops). Lineage: Bacteria; Pseudomonadati; Pseudomonadota; Alphaproteobacteria; Rhodobacterales; Roseobacteraceae. The record is from Rfam by way of RNAcentral.
GCCCUCGUAGCUCAGUUGGAGUAGAGCGUUCGCCUCCGAAGCGAGAGGUCGCUGGUUCGAGUCCAGCCGAGGGCA